This 74-nucleotide transfer RNA is filed under the name Culex quinquefasciatus (southern house mosquito). Its description in RNAcentral is "tRNA-Thr". The record is from RNAcentral. Lineage: Eukaryota; Metazoa; Arthropoda; Insecta; Diptera; Culicidae.
UACAGAGUCCAAGAAUGGUUACUCUGUCCGCUUUGUAAGCGGAGGAUUCUGGGUUCGAUUCCCAUCUGCUGCAA